Molecule: long non-coding RNA, 225 nt
Filed under: Ananas comosus (pineapple)
Lineage: Eukaryota; Viridiplantae; Streptophyta; Magnoliopsida; Poales; Bromeliaceae
Description: long non-coding RNA (ACOM_LNC019259)
Source: RNAcentral
AACCAAUGCCCCAAGAUCGAGCACGUGAUCGCCGACGGCAAUUUCAGCAACCUGCUGUGCAGCAUGGAGGAGCAACCACCCUUCUGGCCAUGGGCAGAUCACAACAAUUUCCAUUAGUGUGUGGCACCAUGAAUUUAAUGAGAGUAUAUUCUCUACAGUUAGACUCUAUAUCAGUCUAUGAGCUUUGCAACUCCUUUUUGAGUCUAGCCAAUGUGUAAUGAAUAG